UAACUACUCCCUCCGUCCAACAAAGGAUGUCUCAACUUUGAUCAAAUUUGAAUGCACCCAGAUACAUCCAAAUUUUAUCAAACUUGAGACAUCUUUUGUUGACGGAGGAAGUAUAAU
Molecule: non-coding RNA, 117 nt
Organism: Brachypodium distachyon (stiff brome)
Lineage: Eukaryota; Viridiplantae; Streptophyta; Magnoliopsida; Poales; Poaceae
Source: Rfam